This 365-nucleotide ribosomal RNA is filed under the name uncultured bacterium. RNAcentral describes it as "bacterial SSU rRNA". It matches the Rfam family "Bacterial small subunit ribosomal RNA", at positions 29 to 419 of the family's 1533-position model. The record is from RNAcentral.
AACGAACGCUGGCGGCAGGCCUAAUACAUGCAAGUCGAACGGGCGUAGCAAUACGUCAGUGGCGGACGGGUGAGUAACACGUGGGAACAUGCCUUUCGGUUCGGAAUAACGCAGGGAAACUUGCGCUAAUACCGGAUGACCCGGCGACGGAAAAGAUUUAUCGCCGAAAGAUUGGCCCGCGUAGGAUUAGCUAGUUGGUGAGGUAACGGCCCACCAAGGCGACGAUCCUUAGCUGGUUUGAGAGAACGAUCAGCCACACUGGGACUGAGACACGGCCCAGACUCCUACGGGAGGCAGCAGUAGGGAAUCUUGGACAAUGGGGGAAACCCUGAUCCAGCCAUGCCGCGUGAGUGAUGAAGGCCUUC